Molecule: long non-coding RNA, 4124 nt
Filed under: Equus caballus (horse)
Lineage: Eukaryota; Metazoa; Chordata; Mammalia; Perissodactyla; Equidae
Description: lncRNA (ENSECAG00000044650.1)
Source: RNAcentral
CUCAGCACCUCCACCCUUUCCAGAAUCCCCCCAGGGCCUCGGUUUGCCUUAUACUCACUUCCUUUAUUUAUUGCUUCGUGACGAAUCAAAAGACAGAUAUUGACAGAGCACUUGCUGUAUAUUUAGCUCUGUAGCAAGCUCCGGAGAGGUCCAGGAAGGGUUGCUAACCUAGAAGGUUGCCAGCCUGGGUGGACAGGUGUCAUCCACAGACACGGACAUCCAGCCACUCCGACCCCGCAGCUCUCAUCCAGCCUAAGUGAAUAGCAGGGUUUUGGAGGAGAGAGAACGAUCAGGGCAGGAGUGGUUCAGGCAGUCUUCUUGGAGGAAGGGGCCUUGAAGGACAAGUAGGAUGGGCAGAAGGGACAAGAAAGGCAGUGUGGACAGAGGGCACAGCAGAGGAGUGACCAUGGUGUGCUCACUGGGGGCACCAAAGUAGAGACAGAUUGUGUGUGGGAAAUCUUGGGAGUGAAGACUGGGUUGAGAAGGUCAGGCCAGAUGCUAGAGACCCUUGAGAGCCAAAGACAGGAAUGUAGAUCAGACACGAUAGGAAACAGGGAGCCAGAGCAGGUUCUUGAGCAGGGGAGUGAAGGUUGAAAGGGAACGGAUGGGCCUCCUAUUUAUUUAGCAUUGACUGUAUUCCAGAUUCUAGCUAGGUGCUUAUUAGGUUUUCCCACUUAAUCCCCAAGCAUCCCGGUGAGACAUGCAUUGUUAUCUCCAUUUGAUAGAUGGGGAAACUGAGACUUGGAGAAGUUAAGUAAAUUCUCCAAGAUCACAGAAUUGAGGAGAAAGUGAGAAAACCGAAGUCUGCCUAACUCCAGAGUCCAUGCACCUGCCAGCACAACCCAUUGUCCCCCAAAGACAACGGGGGUCAGAGUUAGGCAGGAUCCUCUUUCCCUCCCCACCCCCACCCACCCCUUGGUGGAGUUUGCUUUAGGGGCUGGGAGCGUUUGGGGCCAGUGGAGGUGAAGCUGCCUCGGCAGGUUGAUUUUCCAGCUGCUCAUGGGAUGGAGGGAACAGGGACCAGACGGGACACUCGUCACCGGUCAGCAUAGGGAGAAGUCUGGAGGGCCAGGGUAAGUGAGAGGGAGCAGCCAGCGGUGACGCUGGGCUUUUGAGCCUCCCUGCCCAGGAGCAGGAGGCUGUUGACAGAACCUGAAGUCGCAGGAAGGAUGUGGACUGGCUUUGGAACAGGCUGAGCCUGGCGCAGUGGCCAAGUAGAAAAAGCCCCGGCUCUGAGCUCAGCGGAGAGGCCUGACCUCCAGGACUUUCCAGGCACUCUUUCCUGUCCCUUUGAGACUGGGGACGCCCAGAGAAUGGGGCCUGUGGUACCUCCUUCCUUGGCCUCCGCGCUGGCCCUCAGAGUGGGGCCUGGGCGGGGAGCAUCCUAGGAAGGCAGCCUCCCCCUCCCUCCUCUCCCUCCCCCUCCUCCAUCAGCCCUUGGCAUGCCCUUUGAGGCCCGGGAACCCAAGGACCAGCUCCUUCCUCUACAUCCCUACCAGGGCUGCUCCCCUGUCCUUGCUUGUCCCAGCCCCACCAGCCCUUGGGUUACCUGCGCAUGUCUCUUCCCCUCCCCAGGUCAUCCGUUUAUUCAACAGAUAUCUCUUGAGCACCAGGCCUUGUGCUGGGCCCUAAGGAUACAGCCAUGUCCUCAGAGAGCUUGCAUUCUAAUAGGGGAGGCCGAUAAUAACCAAGUAAUUAAAGAGAAACUCGUUUCAGGAGGAUCUUGAUGCCCCCUGGUCCCCAGACUCCUCUGCACAUCUGGACACAGGCUCCAGGGAACAUUCCAGAAGACCUGCCUUCAUUUACUGUCUCACGUUGAGAAGGAUUCUGGGGAGACUUUGGGAGACCCCCAAGGAAAUGACUAUUGUGGAAGAACUGCCUUGUUUUCCCUUUGGGGGGCCCUUUGUCCCCAGCCUGGUGUAGGGGUGUCUCUGUGUCAGGGGCUCUGUGAGGAGGGUAGCCCCUGACCAGGGUCACAUCGACACCUAGACAGACAUCUCAGGUCUGGAGAAAUUAAGGGAAGAAGGAAGGGAUUGAGGUGGUGGAGCAAGUGGACCAGCAGGUGACCUUUGCCCUCUGCCCUCCCCUCAAACCCUGCAGGAGCCCCUGGCUGCUCCAGCAAGGGGCGGGGGUGGGGGGACUCCAUCUGGGUGGGGCCGGUGGAAUCUGGCGGACCUCCUGGGGGCUGCCCUGGGGAUGGACGCCCAGCAGCGUUGGGAACAGACUGAGUCAGAUCCGGAGAGCGGCACAGGGCGGCCCAGCUGAGAUCACGGCCUGGUGGCUGGAGGUGGCCUCCCAGCUCGAGUCCUCCACCCCCAGCUGGUGUCCAUCCAGAGAGCCCUCCGACACGCACCAGGCGCCUUCCCGGCGUCAGUGUAGCACUCCUGGGACGCAAGAUGCUCAGAGCCAAGACCAGGCCGUGACUGGGCUCCAAUCUCCACCCUUCCCGUGUGCCCAAAUUGACGGAGGCGUGACCCUGCCCUCACGGAGCCCCCAGUCUGAGAGAAGAUGAGAAGAUGGAGACGCACUUAAAGAACACAAAGAUGAAGGGGUCUGCCCAGUGGCAUAGCAGUAAAGUUCACGUACUCUGCUUUGGCGGCCCAGGGUUCGUGGGUUCGGAUCCCGGGCAUGGACCUAGCACUGCUGGUCAAGCCACACUGUAGAGGCAUCCCACAUGAAACAGAGGAAGACUGGCACAGAUGUUAGCUCAGGGCCAUUCUUCCUCACCAAAAAAACCCUCAAACCCCCCACAAAGAUGAAGGUCAAAAGGAAACCCCCCAGUGGACCAGGUCAGGGAGAGACGCACUGUGCCCAAGAGCCUAGGGCAGGCACUGUCCUGACACGAAGCGGCCAUGGGUGCCCGUGUGGGUCAGCUCGCUCGUGGCUCCUUCGUCCAGAAGCCCGGCCUCUGACCCCCUUGUACCCACAGUGCACUGAGGCUGGGAGUUGUGCAAGGGUCAGCAGGCAGGGUGGCGGGCUGGCUGGGGAGGGGAGAUUCCUGUCUCCUGCCCCAGCUCCCUGAGGCCUUCCCUCCCGCAGCCUUGGCCUCGGUGCGCAGCAAGCUGUUGGAGCUUGUUUGGCCUAAGGGUUCGCACCCUGCCUCCUCCCCCUCGCCUUCCUGCUCAAGAACAGCAGCCAGAGGCCUGAGACGGAGGAAAGCCAGGGGCUGGUGGUGGGCCGGGGCACUGCUGAGUCCCUAAGUCCAAGGGGAGUACGAAAGGCCCCCCCGCCCCCCCCCCCCGACAGAACCUUGUGCUGGGAGGCGCCCUGCCUGAGGGGGGCAUCAGUGAGCCUCCAGCAGGAAAGACAGGGCUGAGCCUGGGGCUCAGAAACACUUGAUUUCAGGCCAUGAAAAUCAGAGAGCUCCUGAGAGAGAUGUGGCUGAGUGGUUUUCUAACAGUCCCAGCCAUCUCCAGGUGCCACGGGCUGCCUUGAGAGGGAGGGAGCUGCCCAAUGCAGAGACAUUCAAGUAGAGGCCACAGAAGUUAAUCAUCUUCUCACUGACUAUUCAUUGAGUCCCUUCUGGAGGUGGCCCAGUCCAGGCAGUGAGUGGGGAGGCAGUGUUGAACCACGUGAUAGUUUAAAGUCCCUUCCAGUGCUGAGAUCCAAGACAGCAUCAAUCAGGGCAGGGUUCUCAGAGGAGGUGGCAGGGACAAAAAGAAAGGGUUUCUACAAGGGGCCAGGGAUUGGAGCUUACCAAGCCUGGGGCAAGCUGCCUAGACACCAGCCCCCACCCCAGGGGGUGUAGGGGCUUAGGUCCUGGGGGUGCAGGGCGGGGAAGGGGAGCCAGACAGCUUCUUAGAAAGUGGCAGGCAGGUGAGCAGAGCUCCCCAGUGAUAAUUAAGGAACAAAGGUGCCGAGGAGCAGGGAGCCUGCGCAGCCCUCUGGGGCAGGCGGGCUAAUGGGAGCCUGGAGGAGAGGUAAUAACAAGCGGAGAACUGAGCAGACAGCCCGGCGUCACUACGCCCACAAGCCGCCCCCUCGCCCUCCUGCGCCAGAACAAUAACUGAGCACCCAGCUGGGGGUGAAAAUAUAUGGAUAACACACAGGCGAGCUGGAACCCAGGCGCGCUGCACCCAGGUUGCUGCAGGGGAGAGGGGGCCGGGGUGGGGAACAGAUGAGCC